AACGAACGCUGGCGGCAUGCCUAACACAUGCAAGUCGAACGAGAUCUUCGGGUCUAGUGGCGCACGGGUGCGUAACGCGUGGGAAUCUGCCCUUUGGUUCGGAAUAACAGUUGGAAACGACUGCUAAUACCGGAUGAUGACGAAGGUCCAAAGAUUUAUCGCCAGAGGAUGAGCCCGCGUAGGAUUAGCUAGUUGGUGUGGUAAAGGCGCACCAAGGCGACGAUCCUUAGCUGGUCUGAGAGGAUGAUCAGCCACACUGGGACUGAGACACGGCCCAGACUCCUACGGGAGGCAGCAGUGGGGAAUAUUGGACAAUGGGCGAAAGCCCGAUCCAGCAAUGCCGCGUGAGUGAUGAAGGCCUUAGGGUUGUAAAGCUCUUUUACCCGGGAUGAUAAUGACAGUACCGGGAGAAUAAGCUCCGGCUAACUCCGUGCCAGCAGCCGCGGUAA
RNAcentral lists this ribosomal RNA (449 nucleotides) under uncultured bacterium. Its description in RNAcentral is "partial 16S ribosomal RNA". It matches the Rfam family "Bacterial small subunit ribosomal RNA", at positions 29 to 523 of the family's 1533-position model. The record is from RNAcentral.